GAUGAACGCUGGCGGCGUGCCUAAUACAUGCAAGUCGAGCGAACAGACGAGGAGCUUGCUCCUCUGACGUUAGCGGCGGACGGGUGAGUAACACGUGGAUAACCUACCUAUAAGACUGGGAUAACUUCGGGAAACCGGAGCUGAUACCGGGUAAUAUAUUGAACCGCAUGGUUCAAUAGUGAAAGACGGUUUUGCUGUCACUUAUAGAUGGAUCCGCGCCGCAUUAGCUAGUUGGUAAGGUAACGGCUUACCAAGGCGACGAUGCGUAGCCGACCUGAGAGGGUGAUCGGCCACACUGGAACUGAGACACGGUCCAGACUCCUACGGGAGGCAGCAGUAGGGAAUCUUCCGCAAUGGGCGAAAGCCUGACGGAGCAACGCCGCGUGAGUGAUGAAGGUCUUCGGAUCGUAAAACUCUGUUAUUAGGGAAGAACAAAUGUGUAAGUAACUAUGCACGUCUUGACGGUACCUAAUCAGAAAGCCACGGCUAACUACGUG
RNAcentral lists this ribosomal RNA (497 nucleotides) under uncultured bacterium. RNAcentral describes it as "partial 16S ribosomal RNA". It matches the Rfam family "Bacterial small subunit ribosomal RNA", at positions 28 to 507 of the family's 1533-position model. The record is from RNAcentral.